Molecule: unclassified non-coding RNA, 210 nt
Filed under: soil metagenome
Description: partial contains 5.8S ribosomal RNA, internal transcribed spacer 2, and large subunit ribosomal RNA
Source: RNAcentral
AACCUAGCACACCUGCGGUGUGUACCUGCGGAAGGAUCAUUACCGAGUUUACAACUCCCAAACCCCUGUGAACAUACCUAUACGUUGCCUCGGCGGAUCAGCCCGCGCCCCGUAAAACGGGACGGCCCGCCCGAGGACCCCUAAACUCUGUUUUUAGUGGAACUUCUGAGUAAAACAAACAAAUAAAUCAAAACUUUCAGCAACGGAUCU